This 22672-nucleotide long non-coding RNA is filed under the name Pelobates cultripes (western spadefoot toad). The record is from RNAcentral. Lineage: Eukaryota; Metazoa; Chordata; Amphibia; Anura; Pelobatidae.
CGUAUACAGAGACAUGCAUGGGCUUAUGGGGUAACGCCACUGUCCACUUAAUAGAACGAUUGGCUGAGCUACUUCCUGGUCUCGACAGAAAUCACUGCAAACACUGGGCAGUGGACAAUAUCAUGCAAAUCCUGGAACUUUUAAGGUAUCUUUUUUGUUUACAUUUAUUUCUAAUUUAUUUUUUAAUGCAUUACCUAGAUAUUUUUAUUAUUUAAUUUCUCAGCCAAUGAAAAUAAUUGCGAUAGCCAGAUGUGAUUGCUACUAUAAGGUGCAUAAUCACACCAAACUAAUUUGUUUUCUGUAAAACAUGUAUCCAGAAAUGUCAGUGUGAUCAUCACAAAGUACAUUGCGAGAUUUGACUGCAUGUCCUUAAACUCCCCAAUACAGAGGCCUCUGGAGUAAGACACAGCUCUGGCUGACAGCUCACACCUGGUUAACUAUUAACACCAAAUCAUUGUGCAGUCAAGGUUACCAAACAAAUAAAGAUAAGUGUCAGCAAAUUCUAUAAAAUGCUGUAAUACAGGGCCUCCCUGAGUAGGACAGCAGAGCAAUUCUGCAGAGCACAACAACAUUCCUCCCACCAUAUCAAAUGGAAAAAACGAGGGACACUUUCAUUUUAGGGGUGUGCGUGAGGGGUGUGGGCCGGAGCGGCUGUAAAAUUGUAUGUGACUUACUAAUAACUAUUUAUACAACUAAAUGUUAUUUAGAACAAGGACAAUGUAUCAUAUGUGCUCAUGAACGACUGCAACUUAAUGUAGUUGUUCUGUUGUCUAUAGCCUGUCCCUGCAGGCUUCUUAUUGUAAACACUCAAUUUUCAGAGAAGAGGCAGUGCUUACAUUGCUGCCUAGUAACACCUCUAGUGGCAGUCACUCAGACAGCCACUAGAGGUGCUUCUUGGAUCAGCGCUGCACAGUAUGCAGCACUGUCGUUCAGCGUCUCCAUGCUCUGCAAAGAUGCUUUGAUUCACUGCAUCUCUAUGAGGAGAUGCUGAUUGGUGCAGCUCAGAAUUUUGCCGUGCAUGCACAAUAGCAUUCCAAUACUUUCUUAUGGAUUCCAGAUGGUCAAAUUUGGUGAUUUCAGCCAUGGAGGCAGAGUGAGGCGUUAUGAGAUCAGCACAAUGCUGGAAAAGGGGGAAUAAAAUCACCUUUUAAUGGGCCGUGGGGAGCGGCCAGCUGAGGCAGCAAGGAGGUGGCCGGCUGAGGUAGCACGCAAGGGAGCAGUAAUGUUUCUGCAGCUCCUUUCUUCCUGCUCUCGCUGUUUAGUGAUCCCGGGAGCCGGAACCCAGCCCCGGCAUCACCAAAGAGAGCGUGCAAGGGGAGCUGCAGGAAGAUUAGAGAGUAGCUCCACUAAUCCCCAGGGAAAGGUUAGCUUUCUUAAUGAUAGGGAGGAUGGGUGGACAUAAGUUGAAAUAAACAUGUCAAUUUGUGAGUUUAUGUGUGUCUGUCAGUGUUUGUGGGUGUAUGUGUGUGUGUUUGAUAGUGUUUGUGAGUGUUUGUGUGUGUUUAGGUACCUGCCCCCCCCCCCCACCUCCCCAAUCACAUGAGAAAGGUGAUUUUACUCAACUUUUUCCCCAUGCCGUGCCGUUUUCACCACGGCUGGUCCUGUCUCCAUGACUGGGAUCAUCAAUCUUAAUGAUCUCAGCUAAGCCAUCGCAUUCCCAUAGGAAAGCAUUGGGAGGAUAUUGUGUAUAUUUUUAACAUUCAGCGCCUCCAUGUCCAGAGCAUGGAGACACUGAACGUGGGUGCUGCACACUGUGCAGCGCUGUCACAGGACUCUAGUGGCAGUCUGAGUGACUGUCAUUAGAGGUGUUACUAGGCAGCAAUUUAAUCACUGCCUUUUCUCUGAAAUGGUAAUGUUUACACUGAAAAGCCUACAGGGACAGGUUAUAGACACCAGAACAACUACAUCAAGCUCAAGUGUCCCUUUAAGAAUUGCAUUUUUUUUUCUUUGAAAAAUAAACUUUACUGUUUUUUUAAAAAUGGAUCCUAACUUUUUAGCUGGCUCCUAGGUUCCAAAUAAAUUUGUCAAGCCACUGUUUUAUUGCUUAGUUGGCACAUUUGUAGCAAAAUAAAUGUAUUUACUGCUUACCCAUAUUUAAGAUAAUAUCAAGUCGGCAUUCCAGGUAAUGUCUGUCAGUGCAGGUUGGAUCUGAAAGAAUAAAAACAAAAUGGACGUUACACAAACUGACCAAGGCUUGCAAUAUUUAUACUUAGAUUCUGAACACUGCAAUACAAUUAAUGAGAAAGCUGUAACAUACUAAGUAAAACUAUCAGUCACAGAGAAAUGUUAUAUUAGAGCAGGGUUAGGCAGCCUUUUAGCAGUACUGUGCUAAAACAAUAUCUCGAAGUCUCUUGAUGUGCCAACCCAAAUUUUGUAUCUGUGUAUGUUGCCGUAUUCUGCUUAUUUAUGGGCGGCUUUGUAACAUUGUAUUUGUGCGCAUGCAGACUAUUCUAUUGUAUAUGUUCAUUAGUAAUUUGUGGCAUUUUCUAUGAUACCUAUGAAUGUAGGCUGUGUAUGGGGGCUGCUUGUGGAAUUGCGUGUGUGGAUGAUAUGUCACAGUGUGUUUGGUGGUGUUUGUAUGUGUGGGGUUGCUUGUGGUAUUGCAUGUGGUAUUGUGGUAUUGCAAACUGUGUGUGUUUGUUUGUGGGUGGUCAGUAUAAUUGGUGUAUGAUAGGGAGGCUUAUUCUCGAAUUUUUUGUAUAUUUAUCUAGUGUGUGGCUUCCUUGGGUUUCAGUGGGGACCAGGUUGGCUAGGUACAGGUCAAAGGCAGGAUAUGCGAUAGUUGGUGGGGGCUGCUCUACUCCAGUACGGAUUCAUGUUCACAAGUGCUCGAAUGGUAAAUUGAGAAUUAUCCCUCACCACCUUUUGGCAUUAGGUGGUGAUUACUGAAUUUCCACCAGGACUCUUGAUAGGCCAGAGCCUGUUUGGGUCUAGCAGCCUUGAGUGCUGUACAAAGGCUCCUUGAGUGCUAUGCUUGGCAGAUGUGCCGUAGGUUGCUGACCCCUGUAAUAGAGGGGUUGUCCAUAUUCUUCACUAAUGGAUUAGACGCAAAACAAGGAGGGUGGAAAACUAGAUAUUAAAAAAAACACAAACUUAAAAAAAAAAAAAGUUAGUUUUAUCGAUAGCUCUAAGCACAAGAUUUAGGACAGGAUAAUAACAGAACAACAACUAUAAAAAAGUAAUGAUCAACUAAAAGAUAACAGGUUCAUUCAGUCAAUAUUGUGUAUGGGAGGAGUUCUAAGCACAAGAGAUAAUGGUUGGAAAAAAAAUACAUCUGUUUUAGUCCAGUAAUUGAAGAGGGACUAUCAUUUCUGAAUUACUACUAAAUGUUUUUGUAAAUAUAUUGUGUAUUGUGUUACAUAUGAUGAAUACUGUAUAAUGUAUGCCUCAGAUUAUGGCUAAAUAUGGCAAUUAGCAGAGCUUUAGUCAGCAGCCAUUUGCAAUUCUUCGCCAUUUCUUAUUGCCCAUAACUCGUAACGCUGAAUGUGAGCAGACAUCUAAUGCAAUACACAACAGACUCCCAAUGGCAUUAACUGACAGCACGCGUGAUAAGAUCUGCGCAAGAUGCCACGAAAGUCUAUACUUGUGUAGAAAUAUAUUGCGACUCUUUAUAAAACUAUUCUGACAGCAGUUGAGAAGCUGAAAAUUGUGGCGUUGUAAAGAGAGCUUCAGAUUAUAUCUCUCUUCCCCUUAAACUACAAAAAAUACACAAGCUUUUUUUUAAAAUUACUUUAACCGCAAUGUAAAUAUAGCAUGCAACAAAAUAUAUAUACAUUGAACCAGGAAAGCUACAUUUAGCAUUAUAUAUUAAAGCGACACUAUAGUCACCAAAACAACUUUAGCUUAAUGAAGCCGUUUUGGUGUAUAGACCAUCUCCCUCGGUCUCACUCAAUUCUCUGCCAUUUAGGAGUUAAAUCACUUUGUUUAUGAACCCUAGUCACACCUCCCUGCAUGUGACUUGCACAGCCUUCCUAAACACUUCCUGUAAAGAGAUGAGUCUAAACACUUCCUGCAAAGAGUCAUCUAAAGUUUAUCCCUCCUUUAUUGCAAGUUCUGUGUAAUUUAGAUGGUCUUAUCCCCCGCUAUGUUAAUAGCUUGCUAGACCCUGCAAGAGCCUCCUGUAUGUGAUUAAAGUUUAAUUUACAGCGAAAGAGAUACAAUUGUUUAAGGUAAAUUACAUCUGAUUGAAAGUGAAACCAGUUUUUUGUUCAUGCAAGCUGUGUCAAUCAGAGUCAGGGGAGGUGUGGCUAGGGCUGCAUAAACAGAAACAAGGUGAUUUAACUCCUAAAUGGCAGUGAAUUGAGCAGUGAAACCUGAGGGGCAUGAUCUAUACACUAAAACUGCUUCAUUAAGCUAAAGUUGUUUAAGUGACUAUAGUGUCCCUUUAAUUUAAAGCUACUACAUUGUUGGGUCAAGUUAUUACCCAAUUUCAUGAAGCUCCUUUUAUUGACUUUGGAGGUUGAAGGUAACUAUAUCUACUGAGCUGUCUCAAAUUGUUGGAUUUUGCAAACAUAAACAAUAUGAACUACUGAAAGAAAUUAGAAUUACAAAGGAAAAAAAAUGUAUAGAGUCACAUUAAAGAAUCAUAGUGUCAGGAACACAAACAUGUAUGCCUGACACAAUGAUGUUAAACCCACUAUUUAGGUUUUGGGCCCCGCUGUCAUUGCAGUGAAAAUGUGUUUAAACUCACCUCUUCUUGCACACCACCCCAAUCUUGACGUGGCUGUCCUCGCCUCAAUGGCUCAGAGCCCACACUAACAGCCCAUUACUGCCAUCCAUAUUUCUUAAAAAUAUGAAAAACCUAAUUGAAGGGACACUCCUGACAGUUUAGAUUGCUCAAGUGCUUCAUGUGUGAAGAGUGCGAUUCCAUUUUCUUUUUCCAUUUUUCAAAAAGUACAGAUUUCAAUAGAAAUCGAUACUUUUAUAAAUGAACCUUGUUACACCCCCUGGCUGUCAAUCAGACAACCGGUUCUGUUACUUCCUGGUUUGGUUAGCUCAGUGGAGAUAAACUCAAGAGGCAGCACUUGUCCAGAGCACCUGCCUUGCAAAGACUUCUCAUUGAGUUGCAUUGGGAAGUCUGUGAUUGGACAGCCACAGAAUGUCUGAACGGGGUUAGAAGAGGAGGGCUUGCAAAGGCUGCAGACACGAAAUCUGCAGCUUUUGUAAGCUGUUUUUAGAUAUACCCUCAAUGAAAAAAUGCAUACUUAAAUGCAUGCAUCUUUUAAUUGGGGUAAAUCAAUAAUCAGUGAUUUUAUUUUUUUUUGUUGAAUUUGAUAACUUGAAAAUGGACAAAAUAAAAUGAAAACUCUGCAUCCAAACACUUCACACACCCGUGGCAUACUUUUUAGUGGUUAUGGUAUUUAGAGCAUUACUGUAAAUGAACACACCAAGCACUUACAAUGCCAGGACUGCCAUAGCCCCGUCCCAGGGUAAGAAUCAAACUUUCUGCUAACUGAUAGCCCGCGUCAGCCCUGCUCCUCAUGCGGACACCCCUUAGUCUCAGGUUAACUCUUUCACAACCAAGCAAUAUUUGUUUGACAUAAUAUUAGCGCACCAUUUACUUGAAACAAGGGAAGAAAAGCUGGCACAUACGCUUGUAAUAAAACAGAAAUUUUGUAUACCGAUUGCUUCUGAGAGAAACAACAAUUAACAUUGUAAAUAUACACCAUUUUUAUUUUUUAUUUAAUCCUUCAUAACUCUAUAAUAGUGCUUUGGGUAAUGAAAAGGUGUGGGUGGCACACAGUAUUCUGUAUCUUGCCAUAUUUUACACAGCGCUCGAUUUGUUAGUACAAAAGCAAUAAUAUAAUUUUUUUCACACACAGUAGGUGUGACAAAAUUGAUAAAAAUGGAAACAGACUGCUUGUGGGUAGUUAAAGGAAUUAUCUGCAGUACAGCUUACUGAAAGAGGCAACAGAAUGUAAAAAUAAUGUCUGCAUUUGAAUAUAAUGCCCACAUACAGGUAAUACCAUUAAAUCAUACAUUUCUAAGGUAAUUUAAAAAGUGUUAUUGCAAUCUUUACCAAUAUCUGGAAUGCCAACAUAAUGCCAACAGUAAAAUGGUAUUGCUCAUUUACUCAUGUCUGUAGGAAUGAUAUCACUCAUUAAAACUACCUAUACUGUUUGAAAGGAGUGGGUAGCUGUCUUGUUCAGCACACUUGCAGGCAAUACAUUGGUCACCAGGAAAUUAUUCCUAAAGUAUAAAUGAGGUUAAGUGAGGCUUUAUAGACAAAAUUUUGUUCUGCAUGUGAAUGACAGUAAAAAAAAGUUUAUACUUGAUUCUGUAAGUGAAGGGAUCAACAAUUCUUGAUGAGGUAUCCUGGCAGCAUGGGGAAAAUUAAACAGACCGAGAAUAACAUUAAAAUAACUAUUUAUAGGUGACUAUUUUCAUCACAGUGCAAAAAAACAGGUCCUCACAAAUGAAUAUAAUAUUGAAUUUUUACGAGGCACUUUGAAAGUGCAAAAUGUACAGUUUUUGGUAGGAAUGUGUCCGGGUACAACACGUACAGUUUGUUUCUUUCCACAGUGGCCAACUGGAUGCAAAAGGUUUCCUAAUGCUAAUCCAGAGUUAAAACUCAGCCACAUAAAAUACUCAGUGGAGCCCUGCCAAUGAUCCAACAACACGGGCCUGCCAAUGAUCCAACCACUCAGGCCUGCCAAUGAUCCAACCAUUCAGGCCUGCCAAUAAUCCAACAGCACGGGCCUGCCAAUGAUCCAACAACACGGGCCUUCCAAUGAUCCAACAGCACGGGCCUGCCAAUGAUCCCACAACACGGGCCUGCCAAUGGUUUACCAACUCAGGCCUGCCAAUGGUUCAACAACACGGGCCUGCCAAUGAUCCAACAACACGGGCCUGCCAAUGAUCCAACAACACGGGCCUGCCAAUGAUCCAACAACACGGGCCUGCCAAUGGUUUACCAACUCAGGCCCGCCAAUGGUUCAACAACACCGGCCUGCCAAUGAUCCAACAACACGCCUGCCAAUGGCACAACAACUCAGGCCUGCCAAUGAUCCACAACAACACCGCCUGCCAAUGGCACAACAACUCAGGCCUGCAAUGAUCUAAGAACCCAUGCCUGCCAAUGAUCCAAGAACCCAUGCCUGCCAAUGAUCCAAGAACCCAUGCCUGCCAAUGAUCCAAGAACCCAUGCCUGCCAAUGAUCCAAGAACCCAUGCCUGCCAAUGAUCCAAGAACCCAUGCCUGCCAAUGAUCCAACAACACGGGCCUGCCAAUGAUCCAACAACACGGGCCUGCCAAUGAUCCAACAACUCAGGCCUACCAAUGAUCCAACCACUCAGGCCUGCCACCAUCACUCCAACAUGGGCUUACAAACAAUGCUCUAACACAGGUUUGCAAGCGAUGCUCCGAGACAGACCUGCAAGCAACACUCCAACACAAGACUGUCAUAAAUGUUUCACAACAGACCUACCAUCAAUGUUAUUACACCAACCGGUCAUGGAUGAUCUAACACUUGCCUGCCAGCAAAGUUCUGACACAGGCUGCCAGCGACGCUCCAACACAGGCUGCCAGCGAUGCUACAACACAGGCUGCCAGCGGCACUCCAACACAGGCUGCCAGCGGCACUCCAACACAGGCCCUCCUGUUUUACAGCUAAAAGAAGGUGAACUUGCAAAUGUCCUAACUUAGGCCUCAAUAUAGUUCGUUUGGAUCAGCAUCAGAAAUUAUCACAAUCUGUUAGAACAUUUUUCAAAUGAUUUAUUUUUCAAAAUUCCCACAUAUUUUCAUGGAAACUUCUCUAGAUAAAUAAUUUGAAAAGUUUUUCUAACAGAGUGAUCAUUUCUGGUGCUGUUCCAAAAUUAUUAAAGGGACACUAUAGGACCAGACCUCUUCAGCUCAUUGAAGUGUUCUUGGUGCAGUGUCUUGGGCCCCUGAACCUUGCAAUGGUAAUUACUGCAGUUGUUAUGGGUUAACUCUACCUCUAGUGGUUGACUACCAGACAGCCACUAGAGGGACUUCCAGGUCGUUAGGCGACUUUUGGUUGCCUGACUCUGGACGUCCCCACGCUUUGCACGAGGCCAUACAGCGUCACCCAAAACCCCAUAGGAAAGCAUUGUGUGAGAAGUCCUAAUGUGAGCGCGGCUGUCCCAGGAAUGCGCAUUAGUUCCCCCUUGCCGACUGAAGUCGGCGGGAGAGGAGCAAAGAUGGAACCAAAACCAGUGCCGAGAGACAUGGGCGCUGGAAUUAGGUAAGUGACAGAAGGGGUUUUAAACCUCUUCUGCAGCACGGGGGAGAGGAGCGAGGAAGGGGGGCAUUAUAGUUUACCUUUAAAUCGAGGCCUUCGCUAUUUUGAAGUUUAGCUUUCAAUUCACCACAGCUCACAGUCUAAUGGAAAAUCCCCUCUACACUCCACAAACAACCGGACACACACUCACAAUAGGCUUAAUUUACUAAAUAGUGCUUUGAAAGAUUUCAAAAUCAAAUAACAAAAUCUUGUCUAAUUCCUGGUAAGAUAUGGCAGUACAGAUAAAUAAUUGUGUUAGUGUACUGAUCUACAAUCAAUAAAUCGUACCAAUAGAUCUUAUUUACAGAAACCUAGAAUGUGACAGCAGAUAAGAACCAUUCGGCCCAUCUAGUCUGCCCAAAUGUUCUAAAUACUUUCAUUAGUCCCUGGCCUUAUCUUAUAGUUAGGAUAGCCUUAUGCCUAUCCCACGCAUGCUUAAACUCCUUUACUGUGUUAACCUCUACCACUUCAGCUGGAAGGCUAUUCCAUGCAUCCACUACCCUCUCAGUAAAGUAAUACUUCCUGAUAUUAUUUUUAAACCUUUGUCUCUCUAAUUUAAGACUAUGUCCUCUUGCUGUGGUAGUUUUUCUUCUUUUAAAUAUGGUCUCCUCCUUUACUGUGUUGAUUCCCUUUAUGUAUUUAAAUGUUUCUAUCAUAUCCCCCCUGUCUCGUCUUUCCUCCAAGCUAUACAUGUUAAAUUUCUUUAACCUUUCCUGGUAAGUUUUAUCCUGCAAUCCAUGAACCAGUUUACAGAGAGCAGUUCAAGGGAACAGUCAUUGUACUCUGUUUCAGAAUAUGUUGGUGCUUUACAAACAUUAAAGAUAUAUUUAACACCUUAAGGACACAUGACGGAAAUAUUCCGUCAUGAUUCCCUUUUAUUCCAGAAGUUGUGUCCUUAAGGGGUUAAUAAGUGAAACAUUUCAUAAUUAUUAUAUGGAAUGUAUAUUCAGUGAUAUGUAUUAUACAUGACAAUGACUUGCAGGAACACAAAGGUACAAAAUGCAUGUUCUGCAGAUAAGAUCUAAUGAUUAAAGGAAAAGGAAAUGUUUUAUGAUGUUUCGGUAAAUAUGGAAAGGAGAGAAUAUUAGAUUUACCGCAAGUCACAUAACACAACAUGGAAGUAACCCUGUGAGUGCCGGGGGAGGGUGGGGAAGGGCAAUAAAACACAGCACAAAAUAGAUUAUUAUUUUUAACACAUCUAAUUGUGUGGUCUUACUAUAAUCUAGUGCCAGGGAUACCAAGCUGUCUGGGAGAAAGCCACUAGAGGCUGACUUAGUGCUGCAUUGUAAACAUUGAACUUUCUGAGUGUAUAACAGAGCUCCACAGCAAUAAUACUCCCAGUAAUGAGUCUGAGUGUAUAACAGAGCUCCACAGCAAUAAUACUCCCAGGGAUGUGUCUGAGUGUAUAACAGAGCUCCACAGCAAUAAUACUCCCAGUAAUGUGUCUGAGUGUAUAACAGAGCUCCACAGCAAUAAUACUCCCAGUAAUGUGUCUGAGUGUAUAACAGAGCUCCACAGCAAUAAUACUCCCAGUAAUGUGUCUGAGUGUAUACAGAGCUCCACAGAAAUAAUACUCCCAGUGAUGUGUCUGAGUGUAUAACAGAGCUCCACAGCAAUAAUACUCCCAGUAAUGUGUCUGAGUGUAUAACAGAGCUCCACAGCAAUAAUACUCCCAGUAAUGUGUCUGAGUGUAUAACAGAGCUCCACAGCAAUAAUACUCCCAGUAAUGUGUCUGAGUGUAUAACAGAGCUCCACAGCAAUAAUACUCCCAGUAAUGUGUCUGAGUGUAUAACAGAGCUCCACAGCAAUAAUACUCCCAGUAAUGUGUCUGAGUGUAUAACAGAGCUCCACAGCAAUAAUACUCCCAGUAAUGUGUCUGAGUGUAUAACAGAGCUCCACAGCAAUAUUACUCCCAGUAAUGUGUCUGAGUGUAUAACAGAGCUCCACAUCAAUAAUACUCCCAGUAAUGUGUCUGAGUGUAUAACAGAGCUCCACAGCAAUAUUACUCCCAGUAAUGUGUCUGGGUGUGUAACAGAGCUCCACAGCAAUAAUACUCUCAGUAAUGUGUCUGAGUGUGUAAAAGAGCUCCACAGCAAUCAUACUCCCAGUAAUGUGUCUGAGUGUAUAACAGAGCUCCACAGCAAUAAUACUCCCAGCAAUGUGUCUGAGUGUAUAACAGAGGUCCACAGCAAUAAUACUCCCAGUAAUGUGUCUGAGUGUAUAACAGAGCUCCACAGCAAUAAUACUCCCAGUAAUGUGUCUGAGUGUAUAACAGAGCUCCACAGCAAUAAUACUCCCAGUAAUGUGUCUGAGUGUGAGCUCACAGCAAUAAUACUCCCAGUAAUGUGUCUGAGUGUAUAACAGAGCUCCACAGCAAUAAUACUCCCAGUAAUGUGUCUGAGUGUAUAACAGAGCUCCACAGCAAUAAUACUCCCAGUAAUGUGUCUGAGUGUAUAACAGAGCUCCACAGCAAUAAUACUCCCAGUAAUGUGUCUGAGUGUAUAACAGAGCUCCACAGCAAUAAUAAUCCCAGUAAUGUGUCUGAGUGUAUAACAGAGCUCCACAGCAAUAAUACUCCCAGUAAUGUGUCUGAGUGUAUAACAGAGCUCCACAGCAAUAAUACUCCCAGUAAUGUGUCUGAGUGUAUAACAGAGCUCCACAGCAAUAAUACUCCCAGUAAUGUGUCUGAGUGUAUAACAGAGCUCCACAGCAAUAAUACUCCCAGUAAUGUGUCUUUACUGCUCUAAAAUGUGCCCAGACUUGUCUGGUUUUAUUGCUGAACAUGUAAUGAGUCACACAAAGAGCGCAGUCACAGUUGGGAAAUCUGUUGCAGAUUUGCAGACUAAUAGAGCACCAUGGGAAAUGUAGUUUUUUUUAUUAUACAGCCUUGAGAAGUGAUGGCUAGUCUUGGCUUUACUAAGAUGCAGGUUUGCAUAGCUUCAUGGCAAAUUUAGUUUCUGCUGCCGGACAGGCUAUAACUCAUGCCAAAUGCCCCUAAACUAAGCUUUAUAAAAUUAUCUUAUUGCCACAAAAGAAAGUUUAGAUUUUUAUUUCUGCUGCCUUGCUAUGAAAAUAUAUUCAAAACUCUUUUGAUUUGCUAUAAUCACAAAAGAAGUACCUUAUCAAAAAUAUCCCUUUAUUGAUACACUGUAGUUAAGAAUCCCUUUAACACUUUGACCUCUGUGAGUCUAUGCAGAAUUAAACCACGUAGUGAGAUCAAGCUGUGGAUUUUAGCAGACACAAAUCAAAUGGUAUUUGAUAAGAAGGCUUAUCAAACAAAUUAUAUAAUGAAGAAAAUAUUUGUUUCCCUAAGACAAGCAUCCGUAUAUUAUAAUGUAUUUAAAUGCAAAAAACAAAAAUGUCUUUUUCACCAUGCGUGCUACGUUAUCUAUAUUGAGCUGGAAUAAUAACGGUGACAUUGUGACAUUGUUUUGCAGACGACUUCCUUGUGGCCAAAAUAUAUAUAUAUAUAUAUAGUGUUUAAAAAUAACAAGGAUAAAAGUGAUACAUGGAAAGUAUACUGUGGUUUGUUAAUAGAAAACGAACCAGAAAAUAUUUCCUUUGCUAAAGAAAACUUCGAAAAAAAUACUUCCUUUGAAAAAAACAACUAACGCUAUUCAUAAACAACCGAACAUAACACACACGGGCAAAUCAACAGAAACAUGCCCACAAGUUAAACCUUUUUUUUACAUAACUGUAUUCAAGAAUCAACAAAGGGAAUGUGGGUAAAGAAAUGAGCAAAUUUUAAAUUUAAAUAGCUUUAAUUUAGGCCAAUAUCUUAUUUAUUAAAAUGAUGGUGUAUUAAGAUUUACUUAGCAGAUGUUUAUCAUUUUAUACAACUUUUUAUUCCGUCACCAUUAGGUAAGGAGUAUACUCCCCCCAAAAAUAAAGUCUUUGUAGAAAACAUUAAAAGACACCAUUAAAGCAGAAAUACAAAAUGCACAGUACAAAAAGGUGCCGUAUAAAUUAAACUUGUUAAUCUGUUCUCUCUUUAUUGCCCCUGUUUCUUGGAACGUUACAGAAAAUAGCUAUUUUAAAGGGACACUAUAGUCACCAGAACAACUACAGCUUAUUGUAUUUGUCCUGGUGAGUAGAAUCAUUACCUGCAGGCUUUUUGCUGUAAACACUGUCUAAAUUAAUAAUGCUUUUCCUCUCCCCAUGUUCAGCAUGCGCACACACGGCGGAAUGGGGAAUUGCACAGGUGCAUUCAUGGAAUUCUAUGGGAAGUCCAGUAGCAAGCUUAGCUUCUGGUAAAAAAUCUAGGAAAUUCUUGAAAAGUUACGUUUAUUCCUUCCCCACCCCUCACGCCUACAGGUACAUUUUAAAGUAAAUUUAGGCCUUGGAUUUUAUAGCAAGGAAUGUAAAUAUGUAAAUCUGUCUGCAGUAACACCAUCUGCAAGUAUAUAGAUAGAAAGAAAUGAUCCUUCUGGCCUAUCUCCAUACAGAGCACUGGCAGGAACAAUUAUUGUUUUAGAACGAUCGCAUUUAUCCAUAUCUUUGUUGAAUGUCCGUGGGGGAUAUCCAACAAAUGCCAAAUUUUGGAUUCGGAUUUCAGUUCUCAGUCACUUUCAUUUUUUCAGUUUUUUUCUUUAAUAAACUGGGUUAAAUUCCUCCAAGAUUCAUUUUAUACACUAUCGCCCCAAAAACAUUGAGCUGAACAGGUCCCGUAACUUUCAAAUAGAUCUCAUUGUAGCAUUGAUAAAACCGAUCGGCAGCUAAAUGUUCCCCAUAUAACAAAAUAAAAAUGCUUGAGGUGUUUAGAGUAAAGUCAAAAUGAUUUAGGGUGAGGAGGGUUUUGUAUUACAGAAAAUUCCGUGGACUGUAAUCAUGGAAUGAAACUAAAUGAAAGAUUCCGUAGCUAUUCAGUUAUUUGUUACUAGGAGAAUUAGCCAGCAUGUAGGGAAAUUUAGAAAUUAGAAUUGCUAACUCAACUAGACUUGGAUGAGAGUGCAAAACAUGGAUGAAAUAUCUAAAAUGUUCCUUGUGUGAAUAGAAGUAACUCUAUUUUGGAUAUUUAGUUGCUAUCUGGCACUUACUAAACAAACCUCUUUUUUUGUUAAUGCAAACAUUUGUUCAUAAAUGCCUUAGAAUAAUCUCUGGGGUCUUGAUCUAACUGAUUUGUAAUUUCUGAUCACGUUUUUUUUAUUUUUGUCGACUCAACAAAAUGCGUCGGUCUCAAGGAAGGUGGAGGAAAUGAUCAGGUUACUACAUCUUAAAAGGGAUACUUUGCUGAAGUGCUUCAUGUAUGAAGAGUGUGUGUUUUCAUUCUACAAAAAAGUGCAGAUUUUGAGCGUGGUUAAAAGAGGAGUGCUUGCACAUGCUGCAGACAAGAAAUCUGCAGCUAUUGCAAGCUGUUUUUAGCUGUUUUCAAUGAAGGUAAAUCUACUAAAUAGUAGUUUAAAAAAAAAAAAAAAACACUUAUAUUUUUGUAUUUGGCCAGUGGAGUGCCUCUUCAAUCUAUCCUUUUCCUUGUGAUUCUAAUUUUAUACAUAGCUGAACCUAAUAACUCGUGCAGAUGUUUUGUGAAUACCAGGUUCAUUUUAUAGAGGACUGCAGUGAUUACAAAGGAAGCAUUUUAAAAAUGACUCAUAAUGUUAUCUAUAACUUUCUAUUUUUCAAGGUGUGUCACACAUGCCUCCUGAAAAGACACAGGCUGGGCCCUCCAUGUAAAGUAACAUAUUGUCCUAUAAUCCCUGGUGUGACUGAUGGGAUACAGCCGCUUUCUGAUUGCAGGAGACAUAGUAAAUAAAAUAGCAAUUAAGAUGCAACUUGGACAGGGUAUUAGAUUUAACCAGAACUUAGACGACCACACAGGGGCUUUAAAAAACUGUAAGCAAACUGGGUUGUUUAUAAUUAUGUUUCUUGUUGCUUCGUUAACAUUAUGCAAAUCCAAUGAAUUCAUCAUUUGCUUUACUUGCACUUUUUUUUUUUCUACAAAAUGGGAAUUUCCCAACGUAACGUUUGAGAGCUAAUGACAUGUUAACGGCUGCUGAUGAGGCAUUAACAAUAUAAACAGGAUCACAAUCUCGCAAUGCACAUACUCUUCUGCAACACUUUUAGAAUGAUCAGUUUGAUGAAUAAAGGCCGUAUGCCUUAUGUUACAUAGUUGAGAUUAAAGUAAUUACUUAAAGACAACAUGUUCUCCUCUGUCCAUGUUGUCUGCCCUUUGCCCUGCUGUGGGCGUAUGUUAACUAAUGGAUUGUGGGUAAAUUAGCACCUGAAAUGGAACUUUAUUUAAAGAAACACUCCGGGCAGCAUAACUACUUUAUCGGAAUGAAGUUGUUAUGAUUCCAAGAGGUCCCUAAUGCUGGCUGACCCACAGGGUAAGACUGCUAAUGAACGGUUUAACCCCAAAGUCUUCUGUCCAGUGCCAGUCAUCUCCGCCCACAUACUUCCAUUACAGUCCGAGGAGUUAAACAGGGAUACUGUUAUCGGCUGAAAGUUUCAGCUGUGUAUCCAAUAUUAUAUAUUGAUCGUUCCUUUGACAGUAGUAUCACAAAAGGUAGGAGAAUUACAAUUUGUCACUUAGUAAACCCCUAAAUAUUUUACUCUUAAAAAUAAACAACAAAUUGUGUAAAUCCUUGAGCUUUCGCAAUGUACCAGGAAAACCUUUGCUGUGGUUAAGAGGCCAUCUCUGUGUCAGUUACUGUUAGAACAUGUGAAUCCGCUGAUGGACAAUGAAGUCACCAGUCCGAUGACAUCACUGUAAACUCUACGCAGAAAUGUAAGAAGACGGUAAUAUGGGCAUCCUGCUGAGGAGGGAAAAGUGCUAGUUAACUGAAAGAGAGAAAGCACAUUAUACUUAAUCAUCUGGGAUGAACCUAAGGAAAAUGUCAAGACCAUGAAUCAUUGCUGAAUCUAUCCAAAUUGCCAGCGAGGAGACUUUCUCCUAAAACAUUUAUCAUGCUUGCCCUUGCAUUCUAAAACUCUACACAUGCACUGGAUUGAUGGGUUAUGGAGAUUGCCACUCAUGUACCAGGUGUCCCGAAGCAUUUCAUCGAACAUGUGCCAAGUGUCCCGAUGCUUCUCUAUGAGAAGCAUCUGAUUGAACACAAGUCAUCACAAAUGAUAACUUCACAGAAGGCAGGCAGGAGUUGCAAUGAGCAGACACUCCUGGUGCUGAAAUCGAGAGGAGUUUAUUUGCUAUUUAAUCCUUUCAAUGUUAUGCUCUGUGCAAUGUUCUGCUGGGAAUCCUUAGCAGACUGGUCACAGUCGAGAUAGUAUUAUCAGUCAAUCUUAUUUUCUCUCGAGCCAAAACCCUUAUUUUUAAUGCAUUAUAUAAGUAGUGCAUUAAAAUUUAUAAAUAAAAAAAUGUAGACUAAAAAAAGAUACACACCUUCAAAGUUCCAUUUGAUGUGCUGGUUACUGUGUCAGCCUAUAGCUGCAUACAGACAUCUCCUCAUCUGAAAAUGCCUCUUAUUUUAGUAAUUCAUCCCCUUGGGUAGUUAUUCGUUACAUUCAUCACACAGGAUGAUAUGAAUUGAUCUGUAAAAUAAUAGUGAGGUAACUCAGUUGGUAAAUUCCCUGACUACAGAGUCUGUUAAAAAAAAUAUUUAAAAAAUGCAAGAUCACAGGUUCAGAUCCCAGCAGGGUCAACUCAGCCCUUCAUUCUUCUGAGGUUGAUAAAAUGAGUACCAUCAGUUUGGUAAUAAUAACAACGUCUAUUAUUAUUCAGCUGCUGAUUGGGUGAAUUCUGAGUAAAUAUGAGUCUAACUGGGAGAAAUACUAGUUAUUAUGUUAUAUAAUAUACUGCUGUGGUCAGUUUGCACAUAGCCUAGCUCAUUGUUUAGUGAUCUGGACUAGUCACAGUCAGGAUGUCUGCAGCUCAGCUCUCUCAGUACAAGUUGGUGUGGCGGACUGACUGGCACCCCGACUGCGUGCCUCCGCCAAUCGAUGCUUCCUAGUGCUCACCAAGCACUCCACCAGACACCGUAAACACCGCAGCCAGCGUUGGGUUCUUGCUGUCCUGGACCAAAGACCCAAGAACUCUCACUUUAACCUUUAAUAAGGUAUUUUAGUCCCCAGAGAACCCGACACAACUAUACAUGGGUGGUAUCAAUGUACUCGGGAGAUGUUGCUGAACACAUAUUGGGGAGUUAUUUGGCAGUAACCCUUAAAGUUCUCAGUAUAUGUAUUCUUAAAUUGCUAUGUGGGUCAAAAAAAUCACCAAUUUUGGAGGUUUUUUUUUGGCAUAGAUUGGUGGUAAAAUGGUUGCACGAAAAGAGUCAAAAUACCCCAACCUUAGGUUGUCUUCUUUUAAAAAAAUAUAUACAUGUGUAGGGUUAUUCAGGAAUUCCUGACAGAUAUCAGUGUUACAAUGUAACUUGCGUUAAUUUUGAAGAAAAAAAAAAUGGUUUGGGCAUAGCAAAGUGCUACUUGUACGUAUAGCCCUAUAACUUCCAAAAAAAGCUAAGAACAUGUUAACAUUGCAUAUUUCUAAACUCAAGACAAAAUUUUGACUACUACUACCAACUAUUUAGAAUGGGUGUUUUUUGGGGGUUGUAGAUGCAUAACAUAUUUUUGGGCUCAAAGUUAGAAAAAGUGUGUUUUUUUAAAUUAUUUCAUCAUAUUUUAUAAUAUUAUUUAUAGUAACAUAUGAUAUGAUGAAAAUAAUGGUAUCUUUAAAAAAGACCAUUUAAUGGCGAGAAGAACGGUAUAUAAUAUGUGUGGAUACAGUAAGUGAGUACGAGGAAAAUUACAGUUAAACACAAACACUGCAGAAAUGUAAAAACAGCCCUGGUCCUUAACGGUAACAAAAUUGAAAAGCGGUCUGGUCACUAAGGGGUUAAUACACACACACACACACACACAGAUAUUUUAUACUUUAAUAUUUUGACAAAAUCAUUUCAAAAGUUUAUCCAAAAAUAUCAAAUAAUUUGAAAAGAUUAAACAAAAAUAUUAAAUCGAAGCCUUGUUCAUUUUGUUAAAGCCUGAGCUUAUCUUGCAGGGAAUCGAACCUGCGACUCAGACAGGAGCCCUAGCCACUGAAAUUUCUCACUAGGUUAGCAGUCUGUUUUUCUUUUUCGAACUUGCUGACUAAGCUAUUGCCAGGGAAUAGAUUUUUGGUACUUUAUACGAAUAUAGAAGUAAAUAAAAUGAAAGGAAAACAAUUUGUGCAAAUGUGUCCGGUGUUUGUGCCAAGUCACUGCAAGUUUCCCUUUUCCCUAUAAAAAACUGUUUCCUAAAUAAAAACAGGUCGACAAAAACAGCUUGGUUGGGCAAAGUAUGUGUUAAUUUAGACCCUCAGCGUUUCCCGUUUCCAAAAAAACAAGGAUAUUGAACAGUCUGCCAUCAGAUUUUAUUUACCUCCACAGGAAAGGCCUGAUUUAUAGAUGACCUAAAACCUUCCACAACAAGUGUUGGAAAUAAUAACACGUUCAAAAAGUCAUCUUGGUGUAUAGAUGCAAAAAUAAAUAUCUGAUUAAAGAGGCACGGUUCCAAAAAUGUUUUACGAGCGUAUAUAAAGCGACAGCGAAAGUCUAAGCUCAAGAGGCCACGAAAUUCUGUUUUGCUUUGAACUUCUGUACAAAACAAAUUACGCGUACAAGCUGAAAGUCUUUACAGUGAUGUCUUUAAUUUAAGGACACAUGACAUGUGUGACAUGUCAUGAUUCCCUUUUAUUCCAGAAGUUUGGUCCUUAAGAGGUUAAACUGGGAGCAUCAAUUGAAAAGAGAAAUUAAAAUUAAUCACUAAAGCAUAAUAAAUACUUAUAAUUUGCAUUCAGUAUUAGCAAACAAUUUAGGCAGAUGUUAAGAUAUUUGUAAAAAUACUUCUACAAUAUUAUCUACAUGUUCUUAAUGUAUUACAUACAGAGAGAACAUUAAAUACGGCGGGUAGAAACAUUUUAUCUACUAUUAAUUUACUAGAAAUGUUUUACAUGUGAUAAAAUAUGAAGAUUACUUUGUCAUUUUUAUUGACUUUAUUAUUAUGCUAUAUUAAAUCUUGGGGAUUUGCAUUAAAUGAAGAAUCGUAAGAAGUUUGUAUAUUACAUUGUAUAUUAUUUUUAAUAUAUUAUUUUUGAAUACAUUUUUUCAUGCAUUACCAAUAUAAUGUUCUAAACAAAGAAUUGGGAGUAUCCCUUUAAGUAAACACUGUUGAUACUUUGCGAUUUGUCGAGCAGGAGUAUAAAUUAAAGCAAACGACGUGCCAAUUGUUCGGGAAGGGAGGUGACACCACUUUAAAUAAUUAAUGUUGAAAUUGACGAGUUCUUUCUAUUCUAUUUUUAAAUUGCUCAGCUAGCUCUCUUCUACGCAAAAUGUAAAGCACAGAAAUGAUGUGUGAUGUGGAACAGUUUUUAGUAUUUUAGUAAAAUUGCCAUGUAAUGUAUAUAUAUACAGAUAUGAUUGGAUUUGCAAUGCCAUCCAACCAAUGUACCCAGUCUGUCCGAGUGGGCACGAUUAGCGGCAGUAUGUGCAAACGCAGAACAUUUUUCAUUUAUUAACAUUAUUAACAUAAUAAUUAACAGUAUUGCUAAUUAUGAAGAGCCAAAAUAUUCUAUGGUGAUCUGCAAUAUCUCACCUCUUGAUUGACUUCCGCAACUGAACCUAAAAUUCACUUUGAAAUGCAGACAGUAUGUAAGCCUGCCAAAUGGGCCUGUCUGUCAAUAUGAGAAAACAGGACAGGUAUAGUCUUACAUAAAUAUCACAACAUAACUUUGACAAUAAUAUAAAAGGGGUAACAAUUUCCACUGUAUAAAAAUAAAGUUCAUCGUACAUAUAAACAACUUCUUAAAUAGAAAUAAAAAAUAAAAAAAUGAAUUUAUCAUGUAGUUAUGGUGGAAAAGUGAUGAUAAAAUAAUGAGUGUAAGUAAAACAUUGAUAGGGCUGCCAGGAUGCCGAAAGGAUUUAUGUCACGGUUAAAAAGAAACAGUCUGGAAACUCCCUGAUAGUGACAGCCCCUCAUUCCUUCACCUCAGCAAAUGCUGCUGAAGUACUUUUUGGGGUACGCAGGGCAAGUAUAGCUAGGUAGGUGUAAAACAUAUGACAUUCUUUCCAAAGAGUCUGAAUGCACAGCACCAUGGGUUUUUAAUUAAUUUGCAUGGUAUGCCUUGGCUGUGUCAGGAACAGCCGGGCAAAUAAUGUCAUUUAAACAAUAAAAACUAUUGUUAUAUUUUAGUAAGCUAAUGGAACAUGCACAAAUCUCCAGACACACACACACACACAUACUACUGACAUGCUGCCUGGGUGUUUAAAAAAUUAUUUUCUUUUUCUUUUUUUUUUUUAUGAUAAAAUAAAGAAAUUGGAACCAAACAUCCAGUCCGAUUGUCCACCAUAACCACUGUGUAUUGGGAGUUUUUAAGUGUUGCAGUUCAGCUAGCAGGUUUUUUGUUUUACUUAAAGCUGUAUAACCCACGACUAAGUUAAUUCAUAAAGUCCACAAAUUACUCUAUAGCAUCCAGUUUAUAUAACCCUGCACACAUAACUUCAUUCUUUUUCAUGAAUCAAACCUACAGUGGAUAGUAAUAGCGCACGUCCCGGCUAACCCGUAUAUAUAAGGUUUCACUAUCACUCCAUAAAGGGAGCAAUUGGAUUGGCUGAGCCACUUCCUGGUUUGAUGAGAUCUUACUGCACAAGAAGUAAAUGAAGGAACGCCAAAGGUUAUUUCAAAUUUAUUUGUUUGGAAAUUUAUAUUGAAAUAUUUGCAUAACAUACUUAAAAGCACAGGGGAGAUUUAGUUUAAAUCUGCUACCUUUUGAAAGACCAAUGUGAUAGGAAAAAAAAGACAGACACGUAAUUAUGGCCGCAGCAAGUCUCUUUUUUUUUUUUUUUUGCAUUUUUGUAAAAAAAAUAAUAAAAAAUAUUCAAUUUUCUGUUUUUUCUGUUUCUGACUAUCAUUAUUUUAUUAAAUUAAAUAUUAAAAUUAAUAUAAAUUGGAUAUAAUUAGUGUUUUAGAUGUACUGUAACGGGCUUUUCUGUUAAAAAAAGAAUAUAGAUAGAUACAUACAUAUUUUGCUUAAAACUUUCUUUACUUAAGCUCCCCAGCAGCAUAACUUUCACAUAGUAACAGGAUAAACCAAUCAGAAAAAAGAACACAGGUAAUAAAAGUCCCUCCCCCAUUUAGCUCUUCCUCUUUCUUUGCUGCUCCUCACCAGUACAGCUCACUGUCUCCCACUCUGUGGGGAUUACUGUAUUUUAUCUUGUUUUUUCUGAUGUUUCUUUUUAUUCUGUCAUUUCUUAUGGUUUCCCUUAUUAUAUAUGUUUUCUGAGGUACAUCCUGUUUUUAUAAUACUUCUACUUUUGCUUUAUAUUUUUUCCUCUCUUAUUUUACAUGGGUUUUUGCUCUGCUUUCUCUCAGGGUAAUUUUCAUUAUUUUGUUUUGUGUCUUAUUGUUUCUUUUGUGUUGCUUUCAUUUGUCCGGUAUAGCGGCUGGCUUUUUGCCUCCCCGAUUUUCCAGGGCUUUUUCUACCUUGUGGCGGCCAUCUGAGAUCCCGCGCACUAGCGCUAAAUCCUGGCAGCCAUCUUGGAUCCUGCGCGCCUGUGAGAGAUUGCGGUGGCCAUUUUGUUGGAGUCUGCGAUCCGUGCAGGCUCUCUAGUGCGCAUUGAUACCCUAGUUUGCGCCUGGCUCGCGGCUGUCUCCCGCAAAUCGCUGGAUGCUAUCUGAUGCACCUAGCCUUACGUUAGGCUAGGUCAUCUCUCUCAAUGAUUGUAGUUUGCUCUGGGAGGAUUAAAGUUUUAAUUCAAGUAUAAGUGAUUAGUAUAUUGUGUCAUUAAACUAGCUUGCACACAUUGCUAUGAAUCAGUCUGCUUUUGAUUGUUAGUAUAUCAUCCUAAUUCCAUAGAGUGUUUUUCUCAUAUGUAUUCAAGGUUCCUGCAGCAGUCUCACGCACUGCUGCCACCCUUACUUUACCAUCUGUAUCACAGGAUUCAUAUUUAUUAUUAUUUACCUGCAUUACGCUACAGGGUUUAGAGGGUGAGCCCCUCUUAUUGGACCCUUCACUAUAGCAGAGUGGGUACUUCUGCCACAAUACCUAUACUGGGGUAAACCCUCAUAUUAUUAUUAUAUCUACACUAAGCCACUUCUACAUCCAAGUGAUAUUGUAAGGGGUGAAACCCCUAUAUUUAUUUAUGACCACUCUAUCGGGUAUAUUUAUAUUGGUCACUGCAUGGUUUCGCUGUCCCUGGUACAUCUAUCUGAUUGGCCCGCUUUGUCUGUGCCCUAUUACCUCCCUACAGGGUAUAUAUACAACCGGAGGAUUUUUCUACUGGGUCAGCCCCAGUUAUAUAUAUGUGGCUAAAUUUAUUACAUAUAUGCGCACUGGUCCCUGUUUCUAAUACUGGCUUAUUCUGCCCCUCAGGUGAACUGGCUAACAUUAUGGAUUCCGCUCAAGACCAGAAUCUCCAGGCGCUUAUUAACGCAGCAGUGGCUGCUUCUAUUGAAAAGGCCCUAGCACGGGUCCUUCCCUCGGAGCUUAAGGACAAAACUUCCCCCGAGCCACUACGCUCUGCAGAAGAAUGUGAUGACUCAGAUUCCCCCAAGGUGUGCAAAUUGGAAAGGGGAGGGGUUACCUUCUCCAGAUCCCAACGUACGGAAUCCGAUUUCUUCGCGGCUUUCUAUCCAUAUUUUUCCAAUUUCACGAAAUUAUGUGUGGCGUCUACCCUCUCUCAUUACUGAGCUGUUACCGCUUCCCUCCGUUCCUCUCCCUCUGGUCAACUAUUGGUCUCGUACGUUUGCCUCCAUGCCCCAGUCUCAACCACCACCCUGGCACAUUGGAUCAGAUGGUUACUCUCCUUAGCGAGGGUCGAAGCUUCCUUUGGGGCACAUUCGGUCAGGGGGGCGGCGGCCUCAGGUGCAUUUAUGGCAGGUGCUUCUCUACAUGAUAUCCCCAAAUCCACGGAUUGGUCCCGGGAGGAGACUUUCCGCAAUUUCUACUUCAGUCCGGCUGUGUGUCAAAACAGCAAAAUAUGAAGCCUCCUGUCAUGUUAUAAAAUUGUAAAUUUUGCUAGCUUUAGUGUAUCUUAAUUUUAUUAAUGACAGGAGGCGAAUAUUUCCCACCCUUUCUUUUCCCUGUCCCUUUUGUUUGCUUCAUCAGGUAAGACAGAGGGGUGAGUACGGUUGCAGUUCUCUUAUAGCAUGUCUGGUUUUUUGUUCAGUUAGUAACUAUAACUGGUUAAACUCUGAAUUUUAAUCAUCUAGGUUGCAUGCAUUUAGGAGUCCAAUUCUCUGAUGAAUCCCUCCUUUCGACUCUCUUCUUUCGUUUCAGUUUAAAAGGCCUUCCAGUGUGCAGAUUCAAGACCGUUCCUGUUAAUCUUGGACUCUUCUGAGACUUAAUUCCAGUUCGUUCAUCAGUUCCUGUUUGGUUCGUGUCGCAGCCAGAAAGAGGAAGAGCUGAUUUGGGGAGGGACUUUUAUUAUCUGUGUUCCUUUUUUCUGAUUGGUUUAUCCUGUUACUACGUGAAUGUUAUGCUGGGGAGCUUAAGCAAAAUAUGAAGCCUCC